This 305-nucleotide ribosomal RNA is filed under the name uncultured bacterium. RNAcentral's name for it is "bacterial SSU rRNA". It matches the Rfam family "Bacterial small subunit ribosomal RNA", at positions 336 to 634 of the family's 1533-position model. The record is from RNAcentral.
UUCCUACGGGGGGCAGCAGUAGGGAAUCUUCCACAAUGGGCGAAAGCCUGAUGGAGCAACGCCGCGUGGGUGAAGAAGGUCUUCGGAUCGUAAAACCCUGUUGUUAGAGAAGGAAGUGCGUGAGAGUAACUGUUCACGUUUCGACGGUAUCUAACCAGAAAGCCACGGCUAACUACGUGCCAGCAGCCGCGGUAAUACGUAGGUGGCAAGCGUUAUCCGGAUUUAUUGGGCGUAAAGGGAACGCAGGCGGUCUUUUAAGUCUGGAGUGAAAGGUACCGGCUCAACCGGUACAGGCUCUUGAAACU